UCGAUGGGAAACAGGUUAAUAUUCCUGUACUUGGUGUUACUGCGAAGGGGGGACGGAGAAGGCUAUGUUAGCCGGGCGACGGUUGUCCCGGUUUAAGCAUGUAGGCUGGUUGUCCAGGCAAAUCCGGAUAAUCAAGGCUGAGGUGUGAUGACGAGGCACUACGGUGCUGAAGUAACAAAUGCCCUGCUUCCAGGAAAAGCCUCUAAGCAUCAGGUAACAUCAA
RNAcentral lists this ribosomal RNA (223 nucleotides) under Klebsiella pneumoniae. RNAcentral's name for it is "partial 23S ribosomal RNA". It matches the Rfam family "Bacterial large subunit ribosomal RNA", at positions 1415 to 1640 of the family's 2925-position model. The record is from RNAcentral. RNAcentral also lists the same sequence under 2 other names. Lineage: Bacteria; Pseudomonadati; Pseudomonadota; Gammaproteobacteria; Enterobacterales; Enterobacteriaceae.